GCUCUAUGAGUAACACCUCAGCAGUUGUCACUCCACAGUACCAGUUACUGCCAUUCCUGGGGUUAAACCUGCCCAGGCUCCCAGCCUGUCUUUGCUUGCACUGGAAAGGGGGAUGGAGAAUGAAGAGUUACCAGCCUGGUUUCUUUUUUACUGCAGCCUUCUGGGAGCUGUAGUUUGCAAGCCAUGAGACUGCUGGGAACUGUAGUGUGGUUUCGCUUGCCCUGCCUGCUUAAUGGCUGCUUGCUGGAAGAGCAUGAAAUAAAGAUCUGCCAGAUGGACUUUUAUUUCUGCAAUUCCAGCCAACAUUCACAAAGUCUGGCUCAAGAUGAAGAAAGAGGAGAACCCAAAGGGAGAUCAGUGGAGCCACUAGAGAGAAUUGGUGUGUGCACUGACACAUAG
Molecule: long non-coding RNA, 399 nt
Filed under: Crocodylus porosus (Australian saltwater crocodile)
Lineage: Eukaryota; Metazoa; Chordata; Crocodylia; Crocodylidae
Description: lncRNA (ENSCPRG00005015253.1)
Source: RNAcentral